GAUGAACGCUGGCGGCGUGCCUAAUACAUGCAAGUCGAGCGAACAGACGAGGAGCUUGCUCCUCUGACGUUAGCGGCGGACGGGUGAGUAACACGUGGAUAACCUACCUAUAAGACUGGGAUAACUUCGGGAAACCGGAGCUAAUACCGGAUAAUAUAUUGAACCGCAUGGUUCAAUAGUGAAAGACGGUUUUGCUGUCACUUAUAGAUGGAUCCGCGCCGCAUCAGCUAGUUGGUAAGGUAACGGCUUACCAAGGCGACGAUGCGUAGCCGACCUGAGAGGGUGAUCGGCCACACUGGAACUGAGACACGGUCCAGUCUCCUACGGGAGGCAGCAGUAGGGAAUCUUCCGCAAUGGGCGAAAGCCUGACGGAGCAACGCCGCGUGAGUGAUGAAGGUCUUCGGAUCGUAAAACUCUGUUAUUAGGGAAGAACAAAUGUGUAAGUAACUAUGCACGUCUUGACGGUACCUAAUCAGAAAGCCACGGCUAACUACGUG
Molecule: ribosomal RNA, 497 nt
Filed under: uncultured bacterium
Lineage: Bacteria
Description: partial 16S ribosomal RNA
Rfam family: Bacterial small subunit ribosomal RNA
Source: RNAcentral